UCCCUGGUGGCUCAGAGGUUAAAGCAUUUGCCUGGAAUGCUGGAGACCUGGGUUCGAUCCCUGGGUGGGGAA
RNAcentral lists this transfer RNA (72 nucleotides) under Ovis aries (sheep). It matches the Rfam family "tRNA". Rfam says of the family: Transfer RNA (tRNA) molecules are approximately 80 nucleotides in length. Lineage: Eukaryota; Metazoa; Chordata; Mammalia; Artiodactyla; Bovidae. The record is from Rfam by way of RNAcentral.